CGAUUUACAAUUUCUUCCGAAGAACACCUUCAAAAUCAUUAUAAGCUAAUUACUGAACUGCUACUUGGAAAUUAGGUCUGUAGAUUCAAGAUUUUACAGUCACAGUGCCACAGAUGUGCACCCAGUAUUACUUCCCUUCUGCCAGAUGUGCCUGCCUGGGAAGUAGAAGAGACAUUAACAUUCAACACACUGUCCUCUGAGGGACAAAAAGGACAUUUAAGGUUGGGAUGGAAAAGCCCUAUGAUCAGUACAUUCCCUAGUUCUGUCCUGUGAGUACGUGGGAUUGGGUUUUUUCUUGCAUGUGAUAAGAGAAGCUCUUCAUUCUUUUUAUAUUCCAUUUUGACUUGAG
Long non-coding RNA from Gallus gallus (chicken), 349 nucleotides. The record is from Ensembl. NCBI's taxonomy places the organism in Eukaryota, Metazoa, Chordata, Aves, Galliformes, Phasianidae.